CGUAUUACCGGGGGGAGAAUGUUGCGACGAGAAUAACGUUCCACUACAGGUUUAGCCGAGUGGGAACAAAUCUUUCUUAAGGGCAUUACCAACUAUUGGAAAUGUAGAAAGGAGAAGUAAAAAGUAGGAAAAAGAAGAUCGAUAGAAAGGCAAAAGAAACGACCAGAAAUCACAAGUACGACAAAGAUCCGGCCAAGCCGAUGCCAUUUGAGAAUUAACGUAGAAGUUGGUUAAAAAGUAAUUCGCAUACUGUAAAAUUUUUUAGCUAAUCACCAACUAAACACGGUUGCCCAGAUUUGCUCAAAGAAAUUCAGUGACGCUGACUCUACCUAAUCUCAACACU
This is a long non-coding RNA of Culex quinquefasciatus (southern house mosquito), 343 nucleotides long. RefSeq lists it as uncharacterized. The record is from RefSeq and is a predicted model, not a curated record. The transcript has 2 exons. NCBI's taxonomy places the organism in Eukaryota, Metazoa, Arthropoda, Insecta, Diptera, Culicidae.